Molecule: ribosomal RNA, 600 nt
Filed under: uncultured bacterium
Lineage: Bacteria
Description: bacterial SSU rRNA
Rfam family: Bacterial small subunit ribosomal RNA
Source: RNAcentral
GAAAGUGUGGGGAGCAAACAGGAUUAGAUACCCUGGUAGUCCACACUGUAAACGAUGAAUGCUAGGUGUAAGAGGUAUCGACCCCCUUUUGUGCCGCAGUCAACACAAUAAGCAUUCCGCCUGGGGAGUACGGCCGCAAGGUUGAAACUCAAAGGAAUUGACGGGGGCCCGCACAAGCAGCGGAGCAUGUGGUUUAAUUCGACGCAACGCGAAGAACCUUACCAGGUCUUGACAUCCACUUAAAGGUAUAGAGAUAUACUGUGAGCUUGCUCGAAGUGAGACAGGUGGUGCAUGGUUGUCGUCAGCUCGUGUCGUGAGAUGUUGGGUUAAGUCCCGCAACGAGCGCAACCCUUGCUGAUAGUUACUAACGCGUGAUGGCGAGGACUCUAUUAGGACUGUCGGGGACAACUCGGAGGAAGGUGGGGACGACGUCAAAUCAUCAUGCCCCUUAUGACCUGGGCUACACACGUGCUACAAUGGCCGUAACAGAGAGGGGCGAGUCCGUAAGGAUGAGCAGAUCUCAAAAAAGCGGUCUCAGUUCGGAUUGUGGGCUGCAACCCGCCCACAUGAAGUCGGAGUUGCUAGUAAUCCGCGGAUCAG